This 2322-nucleotide ribosomal RNA is filed under the name Escherichia coli. RNAcentral describes it as "partial 23S ribosomal RNA". It matches the Rfam family "Bacterial large subunit ribosomal RNA", at positions 614 to 2915 of the family's 2925-position model. Lineage: Bacteria; Pseudomonadati; Pseudomonadota; Gammaproteobacteria; Enterobacterales; Enterobacteriaceae. The record is from RNAcentral.
AAUGGGUCAGCGACUUAUAUUCUGUAGCAAGGUUAACCGAAUAGGGGAGCCGAAGGGAAACCGAGUCUUAACUGGGCGUUAAGUUGCAGGGUAUAGACCCGAAACCCGGUGAUCUAGCCAUGGGCAGGUUGAAGGUUGGGUAACACUAACUGGAGGACCGAACCGACUAAUGUUGAAAAAUUAGCGGAUGACUUGUGGCUGGGGGUGAAAGGCCAAUCAAACCGGGAGAUAGCUGGUUCUCCCCGAAAGCUAUUUAGGUAGCGCCUCGUGAAUUCAUCUCCGGGGGUAGAGCACUGUUUCGGCAAGGGGGUCAUCCCGACUUACCAACCCGAUGCAAACUGCGAAUACCGGAGAAUGUUAUCACGGGAGACACACGGCGGGUGCUAACGUCCGUCGUGAAGAGGGAAACAACCCAGACCGCCAGCUAAGGUCCCAAAGUCAUGGUUAAGUGGGAAACGAUGUGGGAAGGCCCAGACAGCCAGGAUGUUGGCUUAGAAGCAGCCAUCAUUUAAAGAAAGCGUAAUAGCUCACUGGUCGAGUCGGCCUGCGCGGAAGAUGUAACGGGGCUAAACCAUGCACCGAAGCUGCGGCAGCGACGCUGAUGCGUUGUUGGGUAGGGGAGCGUUCUGUAAGCCUGUGAAGGUGUGCUGUGAGGCAUGCUGGAGGUAUCAGAAGUGCGAAUGCUGACAUAAGUAACGAUAAAGCGGGUGAAAAGCCCGCUCGCCGGAAGACCAAGGGUUCCUGUCCAACGUUAAUCGGGGCAGGGUGAGUCGACCCCUAAGGCGAGGCCGAAAGGCGUAGUCGAUGGGAAACAGGUUAAUAUUCCUGUACUUGGUGUUACUGCGAAGGGGGGACGGAGAAGGCUAUGUUGGCCGGGCGACGGUUGUCCCGGUUUAAGCGUGUAGGCUGGUUUUCCAGGCAAAUCCGGAAAAUCAAGGCUGAGGCGUGAUGACGAGGCACUACGGUGCUGAAGCAACAAAUGCCCUGCUUCCAGGAAAAGCCUCUAAGCAUCAGGUAACAUCAAAUCGUACCCCAAACCGACACAGGUGGUCAGGUAGAGAAUACCAAGGCGCUUGAGAGAACUCGGGUGAAGGAACUAGGCAAAAUGGUGCCGUAACUUCGGGAGAAGGCACGCUGAUAUGUAGGUGAAGCGACUUGCUCGUGGAGCUGAAAUCAGUCGAAGAUACCAGCUGGCUGCAACUGUUUAUUAAAAACACAGCACUGUGCAAACACGAAAGUGGACGUAUACGGUGUGACGCCUGCCCGGUGCCGGAAGGUUAAUUGAUGGGGUUAGCGCAAGCGAAGCUCUUGAUCGAAGCCCCGGUAAACGGCGGCCGUAACUAUAACGGUCCUAAGGUAGCGAAAUUCCUUGUCGGGUAAGUUCCGACCUGCACGAAUGGCGUAAUGAUGGCCAGGCUGUCUCCACCCGAGACUCAGUGAAAUUGAACUCGCUGUGAAGAUGCAGUGUACCCGCGGCAAGACGGAAAGACCCCGUGAACCUUUACUAUAGCUUGACACUGAACAUUGAGCCUUGAUGUGUAGGAUAGGUGGGAGGCUUAGAAGUGUGGACGCCAGUCUGCAUGGAGCCGACCUUGAAAUACCACCCUUUAAUGUUUGAUGUUCUAACGUUGACCCGUAAUCCGGGUUGCGGACAGUGUCUGGUGGGUAGUUUGACUGGGGCGGUCUCCUCCUAAAGAGUAACGGAGGAGCACGAAGGUUGGCUAAUCCUGGUCGGACAUCAGGAGGUUAGUGCAAUGGCAUAAGCCAGCUUGACUGCGAGCGUGACGGCGCGAGCAGGUGCGAAAGCAGGUCAUAGUGAUCCGGUGGUUCUGAAUGGAAGGGCCAUCGCUCAACGGAUAAAAGGUACUCCGGGGAUAACAGGCUGAUACCGCCCAAGAGUUCAUAUCGACGGCGGUGUUUGGCACCUCGAUGUCGGCUCAUCACAUCCUGGGGCUGAAGUAGGUCCCAAGGGUAUGGCUGUUCGCCAUUUAAAGUGGUACGCGAGCUGGGUUUAGAACGUCGUGAGACAGUUCGGUCCCUAUCUGCCGUGGGCGCUGGAGAACUGAGGGGGGCUGCUCCUAGUACGAGAGGACCGGAGUGGACGCAUCACUGGUGUUCGGGUUGUCAUGCCAAUGGCACUGCCCGGUAGCUAAAUGCGGAAGAGAUAAGUGCUGAAAGCAUCUAAGCACGAAACUUGCCCCGAGAUGAGUUCUCCCUGACCCUUUAAGGGUCCUGAAGGAACGUUGAAGACGACGACGUUGAUAGGCCGGGUGUGUAAGCGCAGCGAUGCGUUGAGCUAACCGGUACUAAUGAACCGUGAGG